RNAcentral lists this ribosomal RNA (433 nucleotides) under uncultured bacterium. RNAcentral describes it as "partial 16S ribosomal RNA". It matches the Rfam family "Bacterial small subunit ribosomal RNA", at positions 29 to 507 of the family's 1533-position model. The record is from RNAcentral.
AACGAACGCUGGCGGCAUGCCUAACACAUGCAAGUCGAACGAGACCUUCGGGUCUAGUGGCGCACGGGUGCGUAACGCGUGGGAACCUGCCCUUAGGUUCGGAAUAACUCCCCGAAAGGGGUGCUAAUACCGGAUAAUGUCUUCGGACCAAAGAUUUAUCGCCUUUGGAUGGGCCCGCGUUGGAUUAGCUAGUUGGUAGGGUAAAAGCCUACCAAGGCGACGAUCCAUAGCUGGUCUGAGAGGAUGAUCAGCCACACUGGGACUGAGACGCGGCCCAGACUCCUACGGGAGGCAGCAGUGGGGAAUAUUGGACAAUGGGCGAAAGCCUGAUCCAGCAAUGCCGCGUGAGUGAUGAAGGCCUUAGGGUUGUAAAGCUCUUUUACCCGGGAUGAUAAUGACGGUACCGGGAGAAUAAGCUCCGGCUAACUCCGUG